GACGAACGCUGGCGGCGUGCCUAAUACAUGCAAGUAGAACGCUGAAGAGAGGAGCUUGCUCUUCUUGGAUGAGUUGCGAACGGGUGAGUAACGCGUAGGUAACCUGCCUGGUAGCGGGGGAUAACUAUUGGAAACGAUAGCUAAUACCGCAUAACAACAGUUGUUGCAUGACAGCUGUUUAAAAGAUGCAAUUGCAUCACUACCAGAUGGACCUGCGUUGUAUUAGCUAGUUGGUGAGGUAACGGCUCACCAAGGCGACGAUACAUAGCCGACCUGAGAGGGUGAUCGGCCACACUGGGACUGGGACACGGCCCAGACUCCUACGGGAGGCAGCAGUAGGGAAUCUUCGGCAAUGGGGGGAACCCUGACCGAGCAACGCCGCGUGAGUGAAGAAGGUUUUCGGAUCGUAAAGCUCUGUUGUAAGAGAAGAACGGGUGUGAGAGUGGAAAGUUCACACUGUGACGGUAUCUUACCAGAAAGGGACGGCUAACUACGUG
RNAcentral lists this ribosomal RNA (497 nucleotides) under uncultured bacterium. RNAcentral describes it as "partial 16S ribosomal RNA". It matches the Rfam family "Bacterial small subunit ribosomal RNA", at positions 28 to 507 of the family's 1533-position model. The record is from RNAcentral.